GUCAAAAAAAGAAGAUUUAUUUAUGAUGCGAGUGGAGGGGGUUUUUUAGAUCAGGACAUCACACAACACCCGCCCAAAAGAAGGAACCCACGCGCACCGAUCCCAAGAGAGCAGUAUCCAAACAGGCAACGAUCCAGGAGAUAGUGCUACCUGAAUAUGAACUGAAAUCUACAGUUAGGUAAGAUGUCUUUGGCAGCAAGAUACUUUGUUAUAAAUUACUGUAGUAGUAGGUUUGAAACAUAUGUAGCAAUUGAUACUAGACGGAAAUGAAAUCUCUCUUUAGGGAAAGAAAUUAGUUACAUAGCUUUGGGCAAUUAACUCUUGAGCAGACCAUUUUAUGGUAGUGCUGAGGUUCAUGUGUUCAAUAUUUUUAACUGUUUUUAACUUUUGUUACUUGAUUUUAAAGGGAAAAUACCCGUGCACAGUUCACCCUGGUGUAUAAUGUGGAUGGAUUCAAUUAUAUUUUGAUAUGGACUUUGAUGUGUUAACGAAAACAUGGACUGGAAUUUUGUCGACUGGCUAGGCUGCAAAACCCUCCCAGCAGUAGCUGGUUUGUCCAAUGUGAUGUGUGGGGUGGGGUUUAUACUUGUAUUUAAUGAUGUACCACAGAGCAGUUUUUCACACUUGAUAAAGAGCUUUUAAGCUCGAAACAUGUCGUGUAUUCAAUAAAAGCACCUUGCAGCAGUA
This is a long non-coding RNA of Xenopus laevis (African clawed frog), 687 nucleotides long. RefSeq lists it as uncharacterized. The record is from RefSeq and is a predicted model, not a curated record. The transcript is spliced from 2 exons. NCBI's taxonomy places the organism in Eukaryota, Metazoa, Chordata, Amphibia, Anura, Pipidae.